Molecule: long non-coding RNA, 774 nt
Organism: Paramormyrops kingsleyae
Lineage: Eukaryota; Metazoa; Chordata; Actinopteri; Osteoglossiformes; Mormyridae
Source: RefSeq, a predicted model, not a curated record
ACUGCAUCAAAUAAAGGAUAAGAUGUGCAAGCCUGAAAUAGCUCCUUGGAGUGAUCUAUUGGCUGGUGGCACAGAGCUUCUUCCCUGCCGAGCGCCCAUCCCAAACCGCUCCAGUCCUAAACUGGAAAUAUGGCAGCAGAGAUAAUUCAGGUUCCAGGAAUCUGAUCUGGGUCAGGGCUACGAGUCUCAAAGACAAGUGCAGUACAGUCAUUUGGAAUUCUGGACUUCUGUCAGGGGAAUUUUUUCUUCUUCACGGAGAAAGAAAAAGAACAUUUUUGGCAUACAUAUUGCCUUGUUUGCAUAACCCUCAUUCAGCGUUUCCAGCUGCAAACAUUCUGCGGCUGGAAAUGACCCCUUAUUUGCUACCGAAGGGAGUGUUUCUGUGGAAUGAGUCGAGGGACCAACCUGUGUGGAUUCCAAGGCUCUGGACCCUAUCAACCCUGCAUCAGACAAGCGGCUGUAGAAAAUGGACAGAUGGAUGGAUGGAUGAUCCCUGCAGGAUGAUUUUGACUGUCCUUGGUGAUAUAUAAUUAUACAAGAUAGGUCAGAGCCUGAGACUUCUGCAGAACCCAUCACGCAGAUGACAGUGGAAGGCAUCCAAACUCGAUACUCCCUCGACUCAUUCCAGGGGUUUAUGUUAAACGCCAUUAUCUUGUCAGAUUUUAAGGACAGCCUGCGAAUACAAAGCAGACCUGGCAGAUGGGGAAGAACCCACUGUUACCUAAUCUAACUCCACGACACUGAAAAAGACAUUAGCUGCGGAUCAAUUAAGAU